CAACCCAUUGAGCUUUAUGUGCAGGAUUUCCUUCGGUAUAGUAUAGUUUUGUGGCUCUCCCCUUACAGUUGAGGAGGUCACUACUCCAAAGGUGUCCAGCUCCUUUCCGUUCUUUGGUCUCUGUACCUGAGCUUCAUCAGAAGAUGGCCUCCAGCCCAGUGCCACUGCACAAGAUGGCCGCCAGCCCAGUGCCACUGCACAAGAUGGCCACCAACCCAGAGCCACUGCACAAGAUGGCCGCCAGCCCAGCACCUCUGCACAAGAUGGCCGCCAGCCCAGCGCCUCUGUACAAGAUGGCCGCCAGCCCAGCGCCCCAGCAUGAAAUGGCAGCCACAGUUGAUCUUCCAGAGUCAAGUCAGGUCCCCGUUGAUCUUUCAGAGUCAAGUCAGGUCCCCGUCAAGUCACCAGAGUCAGGUCAGGUCCCUGUUUGUCUUCCAGAAUCAGGUCAAGUCCCCGUUGAUCUUCACAAAUCAAAUAAAUUCACUAUUGAACUUCCAGAGUCUUGUCACGUCUCAGAUGAACUUCCAGAGCCUCGUCUCAUCCUGUCUGUUGCACCGAGCAAUGUUCUCUCAGCUUGUUGUGUUGCUGUCAAGGAGACUGUUACAGCUGUGGAACCUCCAGGGGUGGUGGCAACUGCUGCAGAACCUUUGGAGAUGUCAGUAGUAUCCAUCCAUGAACUCACCGCCUGUCCUGUCACGGCGAUGGAGGCCGUCUAUGAACUCAUUGCCUGCCCUGUCGUGACCACAGAGGCCAUCCAUGAACUCACGGCCUGCCCUGUCACAGCCAUGGAGACCAUCUAUGAACUCUCGUCCUGCCCUGUCACGGCUAUGGAGGCUGUUUGGGAACUCUCUAACCACUUCUUCACGGUCACAGAAUGUUCUCUGUUUCAGUCCUACCUGACCAGACUUGCUCUCCUGUCCAAUCUUCUUGAAUCUGGUGGUCCUCUGCUCCGCUCUGGUGGGGUUCUGUCCCGUCUGCUCGGCUGUGAGAGUCCUCUGCUCCACCCUGGUAGGCUCCAGUUCUGCCUACUUCACCCUGGUGGGCUGCAGCUCCAUCUGCUCCAUCCCAGUGGGCUCCAGUUCCGCCUAUUCUCAACUAGGAGUGUCUGGAAGCCACUCCUUUGGGGGGGGGGCUAUGUCAAGAUCGUCAGCUGGAGUGCACAUGAACUCCAGUAGAGGGCACUUCACUCAGGACUCUUGUGUCCAUUUCCAUUUCCCAACCUUUGCUUGUUACUGGUUCUGAUUUUGGAUAUCCCCUCACAUACCUGACGCUGUCUGU
Molecule: long non-coding RNA, 1278 nt
Filed under: Carassius auratus (goldfish)
Lineage: Eukaryota; Metazoa; Chordata; Actinopteri; Cypriniformes; Cyprinidae
Description: lncRNA (ENSCARG00000059845.1)
Source: RNAcentral